UCCAAGCAAAACACAUACCUCUUCAGUAGUUGAAAAUAAAAAAAUAUUUUUCUUAAAAAUUAGUAAAUAAAAACGAAUAUUAAAUCACUUUAGUAUAAUUUCAAACAUUCAGUUGAAAAGAAAUGAAAUUCAUUUGGAAUGUGCUGCUAAAAAGUUUUUUUUUUUUUUUUGGUUCUUGCCAGGAAACAGGACUAUUUAUGGCAUCCUUGCGAGUAAGUAAAAUCAUUAUAGCCACAUCGAUAUCCUGGUAGCGGAAAAAAUUCGCCUCCUUGGGAUAGUGUUUGGCCAUAAAGUCAACAACCUGAUCCACCGACCAAGUGGAAACGUGUUGAUUUUUACGUUCGAUUCAGCUACAGGAGAAACAGAAGUAGUGUGUGCAGAUAGGUGGCAAUUCACUAGGCGAUGAACAGGAAGGUGGCGGAGUAAGUUAAGGAGGUAUGCAUAUGGGAGCAUCGUCGGCGGCGGCGGCGGCGUUGACGGGUGGUUCCUCCUGUUCGUCCUCCGCCUGCUGCUGCUCUUCACUCAUUGCAUCGGAAAUAUGACUCGGGAUGCACUCUUCGCUUUUGGCCCAUUGCUGUUCUUGCUAGUAUUCGGCCAUGGCUGCCGAGGGAGCUUCACGACUUCCACUUCCGCCGCCUGGACCACGGCCUGGGACAGUAAUUGCAGUUCCUAAUCCUUGUCCAGUAAUAGAUCCAACUCUAUUACCAUUUGUCGGCUCUAAGAGUGAAGUUCGUUAAAUGUAUAAAUUACACCACUUCGAUGUCCUCGCAAGGCGAAUAUAAGAAUACUAUAAUGGAUGAGGCUAUCUCAAAUACCAUUUGUCGGUCUUAAGACUAAACUUGGAUUCAAGACGAAGAACAGAUAUUGGUGUCCUUGUUGAACUUGUAUUUUCCUUAUUAUUUCAAUACCAAAAUCUAUCUCAAUUACCAUUUGCCGGUCUUAAGACUAAUGUUCGAUUCAGAAUGAAGAAUAGGUAUUGGUGUCCUUGUUGAACUUGUAUUUUCCUUAUUAUUUCAAUACCAUUAUCUAUCUCAAUUACCAUUUGCCGGUCUUAAGACUGAAGUUUCGAUUCAGAAUGAAGAACAGAUAUUGGUGUCCUUGUUGAACUUGUAUUUUCCUUAUUAUUUCAAUACCAUUAUCUAUCUCAAUUACCAUGUGUCGGUCAAAAAAAAUUAAUACAACCUUCAGUAACGCAAAAAACAAUAAAUGCAAAAUUUAGCAACGUAAAAUUUCAUCCAAUUGAGGACGCCAAGACUAAACUUGGAUUCAAGACGAAGAACAGAUAUUGGUGUCUUUGUUGAACUUGUAUUUUCCUUAUUAUUUCAAUACCAUUAUCUAUCUCAAUUACCAUUUGCCGGUCUUAAGACUGAAGUUUCGAUUCAGAAUGAAGAACAGAUAUUGGUGUCCUUGUUGAACUUGUAUUUUCCUUAUUAUUUCAAUACCAUUAUCUAUCUCAAUUACCAUGUGUCGGUCAAAAAAAAUUAAUACAACCUUCAGUAACGCAAAAAAUACAACCUUCAGUAACGCAAAAAACAAUAAAUGCAAAAUUUAGCAACGUAAAAUUUCAUCCAAUUGAGGACCCCAAGACUAAACUUGGAUUCAAGACGAAGAACAGAUAUUGGUGUCUUUGUUGAACUUGUAUUUUCCUUAUUAUUUCAAUACCAAAAUCUAUCUCAAUUACCAUUUGCCGGUCUUAAGACUGAAGUUUCGAUUCAGAAUGAAGAAUAGGUAUUGGUGUCUUUGUUGAACUUGUAUUUUCCUUAUUAUUUCAAUACCAUUAUCUAUCUCAAUUACCAUUUGCCGGUCUUAAGACUGAAGUUUCGAUUCAGAAUGAAGAACAGAUAUUAGUGUCCUUGUUGAACUUGUAUUUUCCUUAUUAUUUCAAUACCAUUAUCUAUCUCAAUUACCAUGUGUCGGUCAAAAAAAAUUAAUACAACCUUCAGUAACGCAAAAAACAAUAAAUGCAAAAUUUAGCAACGUAAAAUUUCAUCCAAUUGAGGACCCCAAGACUAAACUUGGAUUCAAGACGAAGAACAGAUAUUGGUGUCUUUGUUGAACUUGUAUUUUCCUUAUUAUUUCAAUACCAUUAUCUAUCUCAAUUACCAUGUGUCGGUCAAAAAAAAUUAAUACAACCUUCAGUAACGCAAAAAAUACAACCUUCAGUAACGCAAAAAACAAUAAAUGCAAAAUUUAGCAACGUAAAAUUUCAUCCAAUUGAGGACCCCAAGACUAAACUUGGAUUCAAGACGAAGAACAGAUAUUGGUGUCUUUGUUGAACUUGUAUUUUCCUUAUUAUUUCAAUACCAAAAUCUAUCUCAAUUACCAUUUGCCGGUCUUAAGACUGAAGUUUCGAUUCAGAAUGAAGAAUAGGUAUUGGUGUCUUUGUUGAACUUGUAUUUUCCUUAUUAUUUCAAUACCAUUAUCUAUCUCAAUUACCAUUUGCCGGUCUUAAGACUGAAGUUUCGAUUCAGAAUGAAGAACAGAUAUUGGUGUCUUUGUUGAACUUGUAUUUUCCUUAUUAUUUCAAUACCAUAAUCUAUCUCAAUCACCAUUUGCCGGUCUUAAGACUAAUGUUUCGAUUCAGAAUGAAGAAUAGGUAUUGGUGUCCUUGUUGAACUUGUAUUUUCCUUAUUAUUUCAAUACCAAAAUCUAUCUCAAUUACCAUUUGCCGGUCUUAAGACUGAAGUUUCGAUUCAGAAUGAAGAAUAGGUAUUGGUGUCUUUGUUGAACUUGUAUUUUCCUUAUUAUUUCAAUACCAUUAUCUAUCUCAAUUACCAUGUGUCGGUCUUAAGACUAAUGUUUCGAUUCAGAAUGAAGAACAGAUAUUGGUGUCUUUGUUGAACUUGUAUUUUCCUUAUUUCAAUACCAUUAACUAUCUCAAUUACCAUGUGUCGGUCAAAAAAAAUUAAUACAACCUUCAAUAACGCAAAAAACAAUAAAUGCAAAAUUUAGCAACGUAAAAUUUCAUCCAAUUGAGGACCCCAAGACUAAACUUGGAUUCAAGACGAAGAACAGAUAUUGGUGUCUUUGUUGAACUUGUAUUUUCCUUAUUAUUUCAAUACCAAAAUCUAUCUCAAUUACCUUUUGCCGGUCUUAAGACUAAAGUUUCGAUUCAGAAUGAAGAAUAGGUAUUGGUGUCCUUGUUGAACUUGUAUUUUCCUUAUUAUUUCAAUACCAUUAUCUAUCUCAAUUACCAUUUGCCGGUCUUAAGACUGAAGUUUCGAUUCAGAAUGAAGAACAGAUAUUGGUGUCUUUGUUGAACUUGUAUUUUCCUUAUUAUUUCAAUACCAUAAUCUAUCUCAAUCACCAUUUGCCGGUCUUAAGACUAAUGUUUCGAUUCAGAAUGAAGAAUAGGUAUUGGUGUCCUUGUUGAACUUGUAUUUUCCUUAUUAUUUCAAUACCAAAAUCUAUCUCAAUUACCAUUUGCCGGUCUUAAGACUGAAGUUUCGAUUCAGAAUGAAGAAUAGGUAUUGGUGUCUUUGUUGAACUUGUAUUUUCCUUAUUAUUUCAAUACCAUUAUCUAUCUCAAUUACCAUGUGUCGGUCUUAAGACUAAUGUUUCGAUUCAGAAUGAAGAACAGAUAUUGGUGUCUUUGUUGAACUUGUAUUUUCCUUAUUUCAAUACCAUUAACUAUCUCAAUUACCAUGUGUCGGUCAAAAAAAAUUAAUACAACCUUCAAUAACGCAAAAAACAAUAAAUGCAAAAUUUAGCAACGUAAAAUUUCAUCCAAUUGAGGACCCCAAGACUAAACUUGGAUUCAAGACGAAGAACAGAUAUUGGUGUCUUUGUUGAACUUGUAUUUUCCUUAUUAUUUCAAUACCAAAAUCUAUCUCAAUUACCUUUUGCCGGUCUUAAGACUAAAGUUUCGAUUCAGAAUGAAGAAUAGGUAUUGGUGUCCUUGUUGAACUUGUAUUUUCCUUAUUAUUUCAAUACCAUUAUCUAUCUCAAUUACCAUUUGCCGGUCUUAAGACUAAUGUUUCGAUUCAGAAUGAAGAAUAGGUAUUGGUGUCCUUGUUGAACUUGUAUUUUCCUUAUUAUUUCAAUACCAUAAUCUAUCUCAAUCACCAUUUGCCGGUCUUAAGACUAAAGUUUCGAUUCAGAAUGAAGAAUAGGUAUUGGUGUCCUUGUUGAACUUGUAUUUUCCUUAUUAUUUCAAUACCAUUAUCUAUCUCAAUUACCAUUUGCCGGUCUUAAGACUAAUGUUUCGAUUCAGAAUGAAGAAUAGGUAUUGGUGUCCUUGUUGAAC
Molecule: long non-coding RNA, 4246 nt
Organism: Drosophila willistoni
Lineage: Eukaryota; Metazoa; Arthropoda; Insecta; Diptera; Drosophilidae
Exons: 27
Source: RefSeq, a predicted model, not a curated record